RNAcentral lists this ribosomal RNA (472 nucleotides) under Cernosvitoviella minor. RNAcentral describes it as "partial 16S ribosomal RNA". It matches the Rfam family "Bacterial large subunit ribosomal RNA", at positions 1817 to 2596 of the family's 2925-position model. Lineage: Eukaryota; Metazoa; Annelida; Clitellata; Enchytraeida; Enchytraeidae. The record is from RNAcentral.
UGCUUUUUGCAUCUAUAAAAAGUAAUCUCCUGCCCAGUGAAUUAUUCAACGGCCGCGGUAUCCUAACCGUGCAAAGGUAGCAUAAUAACUUGCCCAUUAAUUGUGGGCUAGAAUGAACGGGGUAACAAAAUAAGCACUGUCUCAAUAAAGACCAUAAAAACUAGUAUUUAAGUGAAGAAACUUAAAUAAAAUUAAAGGACAAGAAGACCCUAUAGAGCUUUAUUUUUAUAGAUAAAAAUCAAACAAAAAUUCGGUUGGGGCGACCAAGGAAAAAUCAUCCUUAAUAUAAAAGACUUACAUGUCAAAUAAAAGAUCUCUAAUAAGAUCAAUGAAUCAAGCUACCUUAGGGAUAACAGGCUAAUCCUACUAUAGAGCUCUUAUCGACAGUAGGGAUUGGCACCUCGAUGUUGGCUUAGAAAAUCUAUAUGGCGCAAAAGUCAUAUAAAGAAGGUUUGUUCAACCUUUAAUAUUC